RNAcentral lists this ribosomal RNA (553 nucleotides) under uncultured bacterium. Its description in RNAcentral is "partial 16S ribosomal RNA". It matches the Rfam family "Bacterial small subunit ribosomal RNA", at positions 355 to 900 of the family's 1533-position model. The record is from RNAcentral.
UGGGGAAUUUUGGACAAUGGGCGAAAGCCUGAUCCAGCAAUGCCGCGUGUGUGAAGAAGGCCUUCGGGUUGUAAAGCACUUUUGUCCGGAAAGAAAUCCUUGGCUCUAAUACAGUCGGGGGAUGACGGUACCGGAAGAAUAAGCACCGGCUAACUACGUGCCAGCAGCCGCGGUAAUACGUAGGGUGCAAGCGUUAAUCGGAAUUACUGGGCGUAAAGCGUGCGCAGGCGGUUUGCUAAGACCGAUGUGAAAUCCCCGGGCUCAACCUGGGAACUGCAUUGGUGACUGGCAGGCUAGAGUAUGGCAGAGGGGGGUAGAAUUCCACGUGUAGCAGUGAAAUGCGUAGAGAUGUGGAGGAAUACCGAUGGCGAAGGCAGCCCCCUGGGCCAAUACUGACGCUCAUGCACGAAAGCGUGGGGAGCAAAACAGGAUUAGAUACCCUGGUAGUCCACGCCCUAAACGAUGUCAACUAGUUGUUGGGGAUUCAUUUCCUUAGUAACGUAGCUAACGCGUGAAGUUGACCGCCUGGGGAGUACGGUCGCAAGAUUAAAAC